UCGAAAUAACUCGUUUAAUGU
This 21-nucleotide non-coding RNA is filed under the name Caenorhabditis elegans. The record is from RNAcentral. Lineage: Eukaryota; Metazoa; Nematoda; Chromadorea; Rhabditida; Rhabditidae.